GGCCCCGAACGCGGUCCCGCCCGGCGCUUUCCUCUGCGGAGCUGCGGCGAGAGCGCGGCCCGGCCGAACGGGCGCGGGACGCGGAGCCCCCGACGGCGCGGCCAGCGGGCGCGCCCGCGCUCCCCGCACCCCGCCUGGCCCUGCCGGCCACCCCCGCGCGCAGCCUAGUCCCCCAGCGCCCUGCUCCGCCAGCGCCCCGUCCCGCCCGCACACCUCCGCGAUGCGGCACGGCGUCGCCUGGGCGCUGCUGGUGGCCGCGGCCCUGGGGCUUGGGGCGCGCGGGGUGCGCGGCGCGGUGGCCCUUGCCGACUUCUACCCGUUCGGCGCCGAGCGCGGCGACGCCGUCACCCCCAAGCAGGACGACGGCGGCUCGGGGCUGCGGCCGCUCUCGGUGCCCUUCCCGUUCUUCGGUGCCGAGCACUCCGGACUCUACAGUUGGCGCUGGGGCUGGACAGCCACUGCCCAGGGGACGCCAUUGGGCUCCAGCUUAGCCGGACCAUCCUUGAACCAGGCCCAGGCAUCGGGGGCCCCGUGACUCGAGCACCCCGCAGAGCCAGUGGCUCACGUCAGGCACUGGACCGGAAGGUGAACAACAACGGGAUCAUCUCCUUCCUGAAGGAGGUUUCUCAGUUCACCCCAGUGGCCUUCCCCAUUGCCAAGGACCGCUGCGUGGUGGCAGCCUUCUGGGCAGAUGUGGACAACCGGCGUGCAGGCGACGUGUACUACCGGGAGGCCACCGACCCAGCCAUGCUGCGCCGAGCCACGGAGGACGUCAGGCACUACUUCCCCGAGCUCCUGGACUUCAAUGCCACCUGGGUUUUUGUUGCCACCUGGUACCGAGUGACCUUCUUUGGAGGCAGUUCCUCAUCCCCUGUCAACACAUUCCAGACUGUGCUCAUCACAGACGGCAAGCUCUCCUUCACCAUCUUCAACUAUGAGUCCAUCGUGUGGACCACAGGCACACACGCCAGCAGCGGGGGCAACGCCACUGGCCUCGGGGGCAUCGCAGCCCAGGCUGGCUUCAACGCAGGCGAUGGGCAGCGUUACUUCAGUAUCCCCGGCUCGCGCACAGCAGACAUGGCCGAGGUGGAGACCACCACCAACGUGGGUGUGCCCGGGCGCUGGGCGUUCAGAAUCGAUGAUGCCCAGGUGCGCGUGGGGGGCUGCGGCCAUACAACGUCCGUGUGCCUGGCCCUGCGCCCCUGCCUCAACGGCGGCAAGUGCAUCGACGACUGCGUCACGGGCAACCCCUCCUACACCUGCUCCUGCCUCUCGGGCUUCACGGGGCGGAGGUGCCACCUGGACGUGAACGAAUGUGCCUCCCAGCCCUGUCAGAAUGGUGGGACCUGUACUCACGGCAUCAACAGUUUCCGCUGCCAGUGCCCGGCUGGCUUUGGGGGACCCACCUGUGAGACAGCCCAAUCCCCCUGUGACACCAAAGAGUGUCAACAUGGUGGCCAGUGCCAGGUGGAGAAUGGCUCUGCGGUGUGUGUGUGCCAGGCCGGAUACACCGGAGCAGCCUGCGAGAUGGAUGUGGACGACUGCAGCCCUGACCCCUGCCUGAAUGGAGGCUCUUGUGUUGACCUAGUGGGGAAUUACACCUGCUUGUGUGCCGAGCCCUUCAAGGGACUUCGCUGUGAGACAGGAGACCAUCCAGUGCCAGACGCCUGCCUCUCGGCCCCUUGCCACAAUGGGGGCACCUGUGUGGAUGCGGACCAGGGCUACGUGUGCGAGUGCCCCGAAGGCUUCAUGGGCCUGGACUGCAGGGAGAGAGUCCCCGAUGACUGUGAGUGCCGCAACGGAGGCAGAUGCCUGGGCGCCAACACCACCCUCUGCCAGUGCCCCCUGGGAUUCUUUGGGCUUCUCUGUGAAUUUGAAAUCACAGCCAUGCCCUGCAACAUGAACACACAGUGCCCAGAUGGGGGCUACUGCAUGGAGCACGGCGGGAGCUACCUCUGCGUCUGCCACACCGACCACAAUGCCAGCCACUCCCUGCCAUCACCCUGCGACUCGGACCCCUGCUUCAACGGAGGCUCCUGCGAUGCCCAUGACGACUCCUACACCUGCGAGUGCCCGCGCGGGUUCCACGGCAAGCACUGCGAGAAAGCCCGGCCACACCUGUGCAGCUCAGGGCCCUGCCGGAACGGGGGCACGUGCAAGGAGGCGGGCGGCGAGUACCACUGCAGCUGCCCCUACCGCUUCACUGGGAGGCACUGUGAGAUCGGGAAGCCAGACUCGUGUGCCUCUGGCCCCUGUCACAACGGCGGCACCUGCUUCCACUACAUUGGCAAAUACAAGUGUGACUGUCCCCCAGGCUUCUCCGGGCGGCACUGCGAGAUAGCCCCCUCCCCCUGCUUCCGGAGCCCGUGUGUGAAUGGGGGCACCUGCGAGGACCGGGACACGGAUUUCUUCUGCCACUGCCAAGCAGGGUACAUGGGACGCCGGUGCCAGGCAGAGGUGGACUGCGGCCCCCCGGAGGAGGUGAAGCACGCCACACUGCGCUUCAACGGCACGCGGCUGGGCGCGGUGGCCCUGUAUGCAUGUGACCGUGGCUACAGCCUGAGCGCCCCCAGCCGCAUCCGGGUCUGCCAGCCACACGGUGUCUGGAGUGAGCCUCCCCAGUGCCUUGAAAUCGAUGAGUGCCGGUCUCAGCCGUGCCUGCAUGGGGGCUCUUGUCAGGACCGCGUUGCUGGGUACCUGUGCCUCUGCAGCACAGGCUAUGAGGGCGCCCACUGUGAGCUGGAGAGGGAUGAGUGCCGAGCUCACCCGUGCAGAAAUGGAGGGUCCUGCAGGAACCUCCCAGGGGCCUAUGUCUGCCGGUGCCCUGCAGGCUUCGUUGGAGUCCACUGUGAGACAGAGGUGGACGCCUGCGACUCCAGCCCCUGCCAGCAUGGAGGCCGGUGUGAGAGCGGCGGCGGGGCCUACCUGUGCGUCUGCCCAGAGAGCUUCUUCGGCUACCACUGCGAGACAGUGAGUGACCCCUGCUUCUCCAGCCCCUGUGGGGGCCGUGGCUAUUGCCUGGCCAGCAACGGCUCCCACAGCUGCACCUGCAAAGUGGGCUACACGGGCGAGGACUGCGCCAAAGAGCUCUUCCCACCGACGGCCCUCAAGAUGGAGAGAGUGGAGGAGAGUGGGGUCUCUAUCUCCUGGAACCCGCCCAAUGGUCCAGCCGCCAGGCAGAUGCUUGAUGGCUACGCGGUCACCUACGUCUCCUCCGACGGCUCCUACCGCCGCACAGACUUUGUGGACAGGACCCGCUCCUCGCACCAGCUCCAGGCCCUGGCGGCCGGCAGGGCCUACAACAUCUCCGUCUUCUCAGUGAAGCGAAACAGUAACAACAAGAAUGACAUCAGCAGGCCUGCCGUGCUGCUGGCCCGCACGCGACCCCGCCCUGUGGAAGGCUUCGAGGUCACCAAUGUGACGGCUAGCACCAUCUCAGUGCAGUGGGCCCUGCACAGGAUCCGCCAUGCCACCGUCAGUGGGGUCCGUGUGUCCAUCCGCCACCCUGAGGCCCUCAGGGACCAGGCCACCGAUGUGGACAGGAGUGUGGACAGGUUCACCUUUAGGGCCCUGCUGCCUGGGAAGAGGUACACCAUCCAGCUGACCACCCUCAGUGGGCUCAGGGGAGAGGAGCACCCCACAGAGAGCCUGGCCACCGCGCCGACGCACGUGUGGACCCGGCCCCUGCCUCCAGCAAACCUGACCGCCGCCCGAGUCACUGCCACCUCUGCCCACGUGGUCUGGGAUGCCCCGACUCCAGGCAGCUUGCUGGAGGCUUAUGUCAUCAAUGUGACCACCAGCCAGAGCACCAAGAGCCGCUAUGUCCCCAACGGGAAGCUGGCGUCCUACACGGUGCGCGACCUGCUGCCGGGACGGCGGUACCAGCUCUCUGUGAUAGCAGUGCAGAGCACGGAGCUCGGGCCGCAGCACAGCGAGCCCGCCCACCUCUACAUCAUCACCUCCCCCAGGGAUGGCGCUGACAGACGCUGGCACCAGGGAGGACACCACCCUCGGGUGCUCAAGAACAGACCGCCCCCGGCGCGCCUGCCGGAGCUGCGCCUGCUCAAUGACCACAGCGCCCCCGAGACCCCCACCCAGCCCCCCAGGUUCUCGGAGCUUGUGGACGGCAGAGGAAGAGUGAGCGCCAGGUUCGGUGGCUCACCCAGCAAAGCAGCCACCGUGAGAUCACAACCCACAGCCUCGGCGCAGCUCGAGAACAUGGAGGAAGCCCCCAAGCGGGUCAGCCUGGCCCUCCAGCUCCCUGAACACGGCAGCAAGGACAUCGGAAACGUCCCUGGCAACUGUUCAGAAAACCCCUGUCAGAACGGAGGCACUUGUGUGCCGGGCGCAGACGCCCACAGCUGUGACUGCGGGCCAGGGUUCAAAGGCAGACGCUGCGAGCUCGCCUGUAUAAAGGUGUCCCGCCCCUGCACAAGGCUGUUCUCCGAGACAAAGGCCUUUCCAGUCUGGGAGGGAGGCGUCUGUCACCACGUGUAUAAAAGAGUCUACCGAGUUCACCAAGACAUCUGCUUCAAAGAGAGCUGUGAAAGCACAAGCCUCAAGAAGACCCCAAACAGGUGCCUCUGGGGAGCAGGCCCAUGCCGUGUCCUGCAUGUAGCCCACAGGGUGAUGGGGCAAGGGCGGGGUGCUAUGGGAUGCUGCAGGCCUGUGGGCUGAGCCAGGCGGUCUACUCGCCCAGAUAGGCAGCCCCUGGGCAGCCACGUUCUGCUACGAAACUGUAUGUCCAUAUAUGUGCAUGUGAGCAUACCCAGAGGGGCACAGCCGGGCAUGCUGGGUGCUGGGGGGGGUCACUCUGGUUAUGCAUAUUCACACAGAACAUGGUGCUACAAUUGGGAAGCACAGGGUGUUACGGACAGCCCCGAGUAUUUAAUGGCCGAUAUAGCGCGUCGCUCUUUACUUUUUAUUCACUCACACCCAGGUUCUUUCCACAAAGGGUUCAAGGUAGUUACAAGAAUUACUACUGUUUGGCGUUUGCUGAAAGAAGUACGUGAGAAUAUUAUAUGCUUUAGAAACCACAGAGUCGAAGCCUGUCAUCGUCCUCAUAGACCAAUGAGUAGCCACACGUACUUGUUUGGCAUUACCAAGUGUCCGGGCAAGGCCGCAGCCUGCAGCUCACCAGCCGUGCUGCUCGGCCUGUGCACGUCACCGGCUCUUCCCUAGGGUAGCUUUUGCUUGCUUUCUCCCACGUCCAUCCUCUCUCUCUCUGACUCACAGCCAGCCAGGUUUCUAGCCUUGUCAUUCCUAAACUACUGCCUCAAGCCAGGCGGGCGCACACAAACUAAAAUGCUAAUCUCCACAGCGGUGUCUGGACUAAUGGUGUCCCCCACCGUGGAAUGUAUGUGAGCUAAAGACAGGAUCUCAGCAGGCAGCCUGGACUGAGGUAGCUGUAGAAUUCAAGGUACACAGUCUCUUUUUCAUUAAACGACUUUUCUCUAAUUAUUUCAGGAAACAAAGUAAGAGUCAGACACUGGAGAAAUCUUAAGGAUUUAAGACGUUCUUGUUACACUCCACCAACCUCACGAGUUUCUAACACCCAGGAAGAUGAGGUCUAAAAACUGGAUGAAAAAGGACACCCUGAGAAAAGGUCCUAGCUGGAGUCAGUCCCCUCUGUGACCUCUCUCCUCAGGCCUCUAGAGGACAGAUGGCCAGGCCUGUGCACACACCAGCCCACCCUGAGAGACCCCUCUGGGACCAACCACCUGUGAGUCCUGCGAUGCGUUUAAGCAGCCUGUGCCCUCACCCAAGCUGCAGUUCCUGAAGGUGUAGUCUGUGUCUCUGCGGAUGAGAUGACAGCUCGCCAUUCCCCGGAAUCAGUGAGGCUGUCAGUCAGCCACGCUUCUGCAGUAUGCAGAAACCUGUUCUUAGACUCCAAAGCCAGAGAAAGAAUUCUCCCUUCGAGGCCCAACAAAUUGAGAAGGAACUGUGAUGGACCACUUCCAAAACAGAGACGGGGGCAGGGGCUGAAGGGCAGAGACCAGGUGAUGUCAGAAGGAAAGCCGGGUUGCAGACACAGCCGCCCCUGCUCUGGUCCUCCAGCGUGUUUAUGACGCUCGUGCAGGUCGACGAGCCAUCCUAUGGACUAGUUAACACUAAGGUGGAGUUCAGACUUUUUUAGACAACGGCGCGACUGGCAGCCUUUCUCUAUCAAGGGUCAGACGGUAAACGUUUUCAGCUUUGCAGACCAGAGGUCCCUGUGGCUACAGUAGCGCAGACACAGCCACAGGCAUGUCAUUGAAUGGCUGCGGCUAUGUUCCAAUAAAAACUUAUUUACAAUAACAGGUGGUGGCCAAAUUGGCCCAUGGGCCUUAUUUGGUGAACCCUGUUCUAUGAGAUCACCUAGGCUUCAGCCUUAAACAGUGGAAGCCAUCCCCUGAAUGACAAGUCACAAGGGUAUCAAAGAAAGACCCCUGAAUUUUCAUGGAAAAAGCUAUUCAGACCCCUGCUUGGAAAGCUAAGGCACACUGCCACGAAGCAGCAAGGACGCCUUACAAGUCUCAGUGCAACAGAGAUGGACACCUGGGCUGGGCUGGACAAUGUUUAAGGUUCCUUUUAGUCCAUGACUCAAGUGAUACUGUUUUAGGCUAUCAGGUAGUAAACACGAUCUUAGACAUCCCCAUCUUUGUAAGCAGAACAGUACGGCACUUCACCACAUCUGCUUCCCACCAUGCUUCUAAGCAGCUGUCUUCCCCCUGCUAAUGUUACAACCAAAGCAGCCACCCCACCUCCUCUCGUGUUGAGCCUCACGACCGCUGACCCAGCUGGAAAGCCAGCGCCCUGCCGCGUCACCCUGACUCUGCUCAGAGCCAGCAUUCCAGCCACAAAGAGGGCCUCCUUCCUUUCCUCUUUCAUAAAAAUGUUUUUUGAAGAGUUAGAGUAUAUUUUAGGCUUUUUAUCUUUAUUAAAAUUUCAUGUGCAUGUGUCUGUGUAUUCUGCAAUUUGUCAUUUUCAGAAAGAAGGAACAGGCAAUUCGCGAAGUUUCACCUGUACUCCCGAGCUGUUCCCCAGGCUCCAGACCCACUUGAGAGCAGAAGGUGGAGCUCAAUGAAGGGUCUCGAGCUCAGCGAAGGGUCACUGGGUGAACUGAGAGAAACCACGUUCACAAACGCGUACUGCGGACUUCCUGCCGCCCUGGGACCUGUCACUGUUUGUCCAUGUAAGCUACAGCAUUACUAGCAGAUGCUAAGAUCGAGUGAUAUCACUGGAAAAGUAGGUGAAUCCUACUAGGAAACUUUCUACUCCCUACUAGGACCUCAAGCCCCUCAGCCACACAGCAAAUGCUAAUAUGCUCCAGUGUUAGCUUAGAAGCCUUGUGUCAACAAGAACUGGCUCCUGAGUCCCAAGCUUGGUGCCACACAGCAAAUGCUAAUAUGCUCCAGUGUUAGCUUAGAAGCCUUGUGUCAACAAGAACUGGCUCCUGAGUCCCAAGCUUGGUGCCACACAGCAAAUGCUAAUAUGCUCCAGUGUUAGCUUAGAAGCCUUGUGUCAACAAGAACUGGCUCCUGAGUCCCAAGUGCUGUCACAGGACUUGCCCAUUGGGAUGUUUUCCACAUUAAAUAUCAAGUAAAAAGACUUCCUGGUGCUCAGGAAUUACAGUUCGUUCUUGAAACAUUCCAAAGAGGCCACCACAGCUUUUCCCAUGUGGCUUCUUUUAAAAACUCAAAUGGCUUCCUUGAAAAUACUCAAAGUCCACCCAAGGAAAUUAGUAAUAAUAGAAUCAGAAAACUGUCAGGAGCAUAAAGAUUUCUGUAUCAAAAUGAAAGAAGCAAUCCUGAGUUGCUGAAUUACCCAUCUGCUAAUGAAACCGGGAUGGACUGAUCAUCUAACCAAGUGCAGACUGAGGAUUCUACUUAGUCCUCCGACUGGGUACAACAACAGCCUAGGUUCUAGGGAGGGUGGCAGUGACCGGGAUGCCACAAUGGAAGAGAAAAUGAAAACACUGGCACAGUGAAAUGUCUCAUUUCCAAACAGUUUUGCCUAUGGCCAAGCAAGGCAAUAAAGACAAACUCUCCCUUUUCCCCAUUGCGUGUGGGCUGCCAGGUACAAGUAAGGGAAUCUUUGCUGUGCCCACUGUCCUCCAGUAGAGAACCCAACAGGCAAGGGCCCCACUCAGGUAUCAGCUCACCUCCUGCACCUCCCCUUAGCAGGAACUCCUUCCACUGGCAAAGGACUGCCACUGCCAUCUGACUCAACUGUGGCGAUGUGGACGGAGUCACCGAGCUGCUUUUCUUUUGCAAAACAAAAGUCUUUUUCUUUGCAGUCACGCUGUAAGACGAGGCUGCUGGAGAAAACAAAAGCACCUAGAUUUCAGUGCUGAAUCCCCACAAUUGCAUGCAGCUCACACCUACCAGGGGUAUUCCAGUGCAUAGGGGAAAGGAACCCGGCUGAAAAACCAGCUCCUUAUUUUUCUUUUAAAUAAAAUAAUACGAUCCUAAGUCCAUUUACCAUCUGAAGUUGUCACGAGUGAACAGUCACAUUACUGUUGUGGACCAGGCCUUAGAUGAGUUUCUCAGGCUCAGCACUGACAUUCUGGGCCGGAUCAUCCUCUCUUGUGGGACCAUCCUGUGCACUGCAGGAUGUUUCACAGCACCCCUGGCCUCUACCCACUAGAAUCCUACAAUCUACCAGAUCCUAGGAUCUAGUUGAUCCUAGAAUGCUACCAAGGAGACUUGAAUUUUGGUCCCAUCAUCAAAAAUGCCUUCUGCAUCAAUCCUAUGCCAGUUUCCCCUAAAAGAGGGCUAACUGGAAUGUUCUAGGAUGUACCAAUCCUCCAGGACCCUCUUAGAGCUCAUGCCAUCAGAGACAGGCCUCUAUCUCAGGGAUCACCCCGGCUGACAUCAAAUUCCUCUUCUCUUUUCCCAACAUUUCAAAUUGUUCUUCGGACUCAUUGAGUUCCCUAAGGUGACACGCCCCCCCCCCCCCCCACACCCACCUUGGGGGGUCACGGAUUGCUCCCUGUGGCCCUGGCUUCAGCCCACCUGCUCCAUGACCCUAUGCUCUUCUCCUCUGGUUCUCGAAGCUGUCUGUAACCAGGGCAGGGGAGAUAACUGUAUGGGACCAUUCCCUGGCCUCCACCUGCCCCAGCACUCUCCAGGCCAGCACAGUCUGGCACUACAGACUACAGGGCCGGAGACACCAGGCUUGGAAGUGACCACUGGCCAAGAGCUGACAUAAAAGCCAACUUCCCCAAACAGGAAGGGCCUGUUCUUCACAAAGAUAAAGAAAACUGCCAGCAUUUUGCUGGCCUUAAGAAGCCAUGCAAAAUUAACCAGUACAUCAUGAAUUAACUUCUUUUACUCUGCUGUGCACUGAAUACCAUUAUGAAGCAAUAUACUUUUGGAUUAAAAAUAAGCAUUUUUGUGGAAAAUCUGCUACAUGUUUUCAUAAAAUAAAGUGCUAUGAUGUACUAAAACCUCA
Molecule: RNA transcript, 9435 nt
Organism: Homo sapiens (human)
Lineage: Eukaryota; Metazoa; Chordata; Mammalia; Primates; Hominidae
Gene: SNED1
Gene name: sushi, nidogen and EGF like domains 1
Exons: 32
Source: RefSeq, marked validated